This 1108-nucleotide ribosomal RNA is filed under the name bacterium. RNAcentral describes it as "bacterial SSU rRNA". It matches the Rfam family "Bacterial small subunit ribosomal RNA", at positions 31 to 1101 of the family's 1533-position model. The record is from RNAcentral.
UGGGGCGGGCGGUCCCUAAUACAUGCAGUCGAGCGACAGACGAGGAGCUUGCUCCUCUGACGUUAGCGGCGGACGGCGUGAGUAACACGUGGAUAACCUACCUAUAAGACUGGGAUAACUUCGGGAAACCGGAGCUAAUACCGGAUAAUAUAUUGAACCGCAUGGUUCAAUAGUGAAAGACGGUUUUGCUGUCACUUAUAGAUGGAUCCGCGCCGCAUUAGCUAGUUGGUAAGGUAACGGCUUACCAAGGCAACGAUGCGUAGCCGACCUGAGAGGGUGAUCGGCCACACUGGAACUGAGACACGGUCCAGACUCCUACGGGAGGCAGCAGUAGGGAAUCUUCCGCAAUGGGCGAAAGCCUGACGGAGCAACGCCGCGUGAGUGAUGAAGGUCUUCGGAUCGUAAAACUCUGUUAUUAGGGAAGAACAAAUGUGUAAGUAACUAUGCACGUCUUGACGGUACCUAAUCAGAAAGCCACGGCUAACUACGUGCCAGCAGCCGCGGUAAUACGUAGGUGGCAAGCGUUAUCCGGAAUUAUUGGGCGUAAAGCGCGCGUAGGCGGUUUUUUAAGUCUGAUGUGAAAGCCCACGGCUCAACCGUGGAGGGUCAUUGGAAACUGGAAAACUUGAGUGCAGAAGAGGAAAGUGGAAUUCCAUGUGUAGCGGUGAAAUGCGCAGAGAUAUGGAGGAACACCAGUGGCGAAAGCGACUUUCUGGUCUGUAACUGACGCUGAUGUGCGAAAGCGUGGGGAUCAAACAGGAUUAGUGUACCCUGGUAGUCCACGCCGUAAACGAUGAGUGCUAAGUGUUAGGGGGUUUCCGCCCCUUAGUGCUGCAGCUAACGCAUUAAGCACUCCGCCUGGGGGAGUACGACCGCAAGGUUGAACUUCAAAGGAAUUUGACCGGGGACCCGCACAGCGGUUGAAGCAUGGUGGUUUAAUUCGAAGCACGCGAAGAACCUUUACCAAUCCUUGGACAUCCUCUGACCCCUCUUAGAAGAUAAGAGGUUUUUCCCACUUCGGGGAAAGAGUGGAACAGGGUGGUUGCAGUGGUGUCCUUCGGCUCCGUGUUCCUGGGAAUGGUUGGGUUAAGUUCCGAACCGAGGGGGC